CGUGCGGGACGACGCCUUUCGGGGUGUAAACCGCUUUUCUCUGGGGAGAGGCAGGACGGUACCAGAGGAAGAAGCAUGGGCUAACUACGUGCCAGCAGCCGCGGUAAUACGUAGGAUGCGAGCGUUGUCCGGAAUUACUGGGCGUAAAGCGCGCGUAGGCGGUUCUUUGCGUGGAUUGUGAAAGCCCCUGGCUUACCUGGGGGAGGGCAGUCCAAACGGGGGAACUAGAGGGCGGUAGGGGCUGGCGGAAUGCCUGGAGUAGCGGUGAAAUGCGUUGAGAUCAGGCAGAACACCAGUGGCGAAGGCGGCCGGCUGGGCCGUACCUGACGCUGAGGCGCGAAAGCUAGGGGAGCGAACGGAAUUAGAUACUCCGGUAGUCCUAGCCCUAAACGAUGACAACUAGGUGUCGGGGGUAUCGACCCCCUCGGUGCCGGAGCACACGCGAUAAGUUGUCCGCCUGGGGAGUACGGCCGCAAGGCUAAAACUCAAAGGAAUUGACGGGGGCCCGCACAAGCAGCGGAGCGUGUGGUUUAAUUCGACGCAACGCGAAGAACCUUACCGGGGCUUGACAUGCAUAGGAAGUCGGCAGAGAUGUCGAUGCCCUUCGGGGUCUAUGCACAGGUGUUUGCAUGGCUGUCCGUCAAGCUCGUGCCGUGAGGUGUUUGGGUUAAAGUCCCGCAACGAACCGCAACCCCUGAUGCUAGUUAAGCUUG
RNAcentral lists this ribosomal RNA (713 nucleotides) under uncultured bacterium. RNAcentral describes it as "bacterial SSU rRNA". It matches the Rfam family "Bacterial small subunit ribosomal RNA", at positions 400 to 1123 of the family's 1533-position model. The record is from RNAcentral.